GGGUGCGUAGCUCAGUUGGUAGAGCACUGCCUUUGCAAGGCAGGGGUCGCAGGUUCGAAUCCUGUCGCAUCCA
RNAcentral lists this transfer RNA (73 nucleotides) under Hyalomonas chlamydogama. RNAcentral describes it as "Chlamydomonas chlamydogama tRNA-Ala". It matches the Rfam family "tRNA". From Rfam's summary of the family: Transfer RNA (tRNA) molecules are approximately 80 nucleotides in length. Their secondary structure includes four short double-helical elements and three loops (D, anti-codon, and T loops). Further hydrogen bonds mediate the characteristic L-shaped molecular structure. tRNAs have two regions of fundamental functional importance: the anti-codon, which is responsible for specific mRNA codon recognition, and the 3' end, to which the tRNAs corresponding amino acid is attached (by aminoacyl-tRNA synthetases). tRNAs cope with the degeneracy of the genetic code in two manners: having more than one tRNA (with a specific anti-codon) for a particular amino acid; and 'wobble' base-pairing, i.e. permitting non-standard base-pairing at the 3rd anti-codon position. The record is from RNAcentral. Lineage: Eukaryota; Viridiplantae; Chlorophyta; Chlorophyceae; Chlamydomonadales; Chlamydomonadaceae.